This is an RNA transcript of Triticum aestivum (bread wheat), 2862 nucleotides long. It is a transcript of the gene named armadillo repeat-containing protein 8, with no coding region annotated. NCBI's taxonomy places the organism in Eukaryota, Viridiplantae, Streptophyta, Magnoliopsida, Poales, Poaceae. The record is from RefSeq and is a predicted model, not a curated record. The transcript is spliced from 8 exons.
ACCAAAAAAAACUCGUAGUAAAAUAAAAAUAAAACGGGAGCCCGGAGCGGCAACAAGCCAAUAUACACAACGCCUCUCGCCGACCUCCCCCACCCUCAGAUGCCGGCCACGGCGAGCGGCGGCGCGCGGGCGGAGGAGGCAGCGUCCGCGCCUUCGGUGUCUUCCUCCGCGCCUUUCUGCAUGGGUACGCGGCCGGAGGAGCUCGCGGCCAGGCUGGUGGCCGGGGGCCCCGGCGGCGUCGGCGGACCAGGAGGAGGACGCGGAGAGGGAGGGGAGGGGGAGCACGAGCGGGUGCUCGCGCUGCGCGAGAUCAAGAACCAGAUCAUCGGGAACCGGACCAAGAAGCUCCUCUACCUCCGCCUGGGCGCCGUGCCGGCGGUCGUCGCGGCGCUGGCCAAGCCCGGCGCGUCUCCGGCCGCGCUCGUCCAGGCGGCGGCCGCGGCGGGGAGCUUCGCUUGCGGAGUAGACGAUGGCGCGCGGGCCGUGCUUGCUGCUGGCGCCGUGGGGCACCUUACGCGGCUCCUCGCCCACCCCGACGACAAGGUUGUCGAUGCAUGUGCCCGUGCUCUCAGAAUGAUAUAUCAAUCAAAACAAGCUCCAAGAUUUGAUGUCAAUAAUGAGAAAAAUAUGGACUUUCUUCUUUCCCUUUUGGACAGCGAGAACGAAAAUGUUACUGAGCUGGCUGCUAAUAUUAUAUCAUACUCUUGCAAUAGCAAUACAGAACAAUUAGCACUAUGUGGUGCUGGAGUUCCACAGAAACUUGUUAGUCUUUUUGGAGGUUCUAUGAAUCUACGGGAUGCUUGUUUAGAAUCUAUGACUGCAGUCAUAAGAAAUAACUGGGAAGUUGCUUCAAGGUUUGCAUCAAUGGAUCACGGAAAAGCUUUCCGUUCAAUAGUUGCGUUAAUACACGAUCGGAGCCCACGCACAAGGCUACUUGCUUGUCUGUGCUUGAUUGCACUUGGUCAUGCUUCUCCCUGUCAUUUUCCGGAUAGACAAAAUAAAACGAAGUUGAUUCUGGUCUUACUUGAGCUCAUUGAAGAACCUGGUCAUGUGGGAGAUGAGGCUCCCUUGGCACUAACUACCCUUAUAAAGGACAGUGUGGAACUGCAGAAACAAGCCUUUUCAACAAAUGCAGUUGCGAAGCUUAGCAAUCAUUUGUUAGCAAAUACAUUGGAGACAAGGCGGGCAGUGACCAUAUUGCUUGCUUUAGCUGAACUUUGCUCAAAACAAGAAGAGUCAAGAUCUCAACUUAUGUCAGGCCAGGUAUCAACAUUGAUACUUGAUGCGUUGAAGCACGAUUGUGUGGAUAUUCGUGUUGCAGCAUGUUCAUGCUUGAAGAAUAUUUCUAGGUCAUCGAAGGUAAGGAUCAUGCUUCUUUACAUCUCAACCUUUUAUGUUCACCCAAAUGACUCAAUUAAUCUGGUUAAUUUGCAGGUGCUUAGUGCAGGCCGCUUAUCCUGUGAUACAGUUAUUGCCCCCUUAGUCCAGCUUUUGUACGACUCAUCUACUUCAGUUCAGAUUGCUGCCCUGGGUGCUAUUUGCAACAUUGCAGUGAAUUUAACACCCAGGAAAUCGGUUCUUCUUCAUUCUGGGGUCGUCUCCCAACUUGUUCAUUUAUCCAAGUCGAUGGAUCCAACAUUGAGACUAAAAUCUGUGUUGGCUCUGAGGAAUAUUAUGUUCCUUAUGAAUCCCAAGGAUAAAGACCUCAUUCUGAAGGAGCUAACCACAUCUACUCUCUCAAGCCUCAUAUGCGAUUCUGAACAUUCUGUUCAGGAACAGACCUUGGCGCUGGUACAGAAUCUUCUUGAUGGAUAUGUGGACUCUGUUAACUACGUCAUUGGUGAAGAUGGCAUGGUUAUAAAUGCAAUCUCAAGACAACUGAACAGUGCGUCUGCCACAGGAGUUUGCAUCCAGGGUAUGUUGGUGCUUGCAAAUAUGGCAGCUGGGAAUGAAUUAAACAAGGAAGCUGUAAUGGAUGUUACUGUUCCUCACCGGGCAGAUCGCAUCAAACCAUCUUUUGUGGUCAACUUUCUGCAGAGCAAGGAUAAACAAUUGAGAGUUGCAACCUUGUGGUGCAUUCUGAACUUAAUUUGCCCAAACAGUGAUUCUUCAUCUACUCGAGUAGCCCAACUCCAAAAUGCUGGUGUAAUUUCACAAGUAAAAAACAUGAUAAAUGACCCCUGCUUGGAUUGCAAGGAUGCAUAUUAUAUUUUUGAUGACAAAAUGCUUCGUCGAAAGCUACUCCUGCAAUCUUAGCUGAGCGGAUUUAGCUAUAAGAAUCUCAAAAGAACCAACAAAAUGCACCCCCCCCACCCCCCUCCCCCCCCAAAAAAAAACGCUACACACACGGUUGGUAGAUGCUUAGAGUACGUAUGGUGCUUGAACACUGCUUAGACAAUGCCGCUGCCGGUUUCAUGUGAUGGGUCCGCAAGCCAUUGACGUUUACGGAACACCAUGCACCAUACAGCAAUCGGGCAAAGGAAAUCUGGGCGUGCUUGGCACCGAGAUGCACGCCAUGGGCGCGAAGUCCUUACUGGUCUCUCCCUGUAUUGAGCCUAUCACUGUAAUUUUUUCUCACGAGAACCCGAUGACAACUGGUUUCUGUUGCUGAAAGGCUGGCACGCCCUUGUUGUAAGUUUGUAAGCAUGCCAGUUGGAGAACCUGAGUUUGUGAGUAUGCCACCUUGAGAACCUGAGCUGUUUGCUUGCGACCUGAAGGCCAUAGGCACCAGGUCCAGAGAAUCCCAUUUUGUAGUGCCACAAGAACCUUUGGGUUGUGCUGUGACGAAGAGUGUAUAAUCGAUCCACCGCUGUUGCUGUUGUAAAUUGCAGUUAUCCCUUACAAUGAUCGGUCUGUUUUAUC